AAUAGUUUUAUGCCACAUCAGUAUUCUUAUCUUGAAUUUCAGAAUUUCAUCCUGAAAAAAAUCAAAUCCAAAUUAAAAUACUGAAAUUCUGGAUAAAAUCCUGAAAUUCAGGAUAAGAAUACUGAUGUGGCAUAAAACUAUU
Molecule: non-coding RNA, 142 nt
Organism: Gossypium hirsutum (cotton)
Lineage: Eukaryota; Viridiplantae; Streptophyta; Magnoliopsida; Malvales; Malvaceae
Source: Rfam